This 2931-nucleotide ribosomal RNA is filed under the name Escherichia coli. Its description in RNAcentral is "bacterial LSU rRNA". It matches the Rfam family "Bacterial large subunit ribosomal RNA". RNAcentral also lists the same sequence under 1 other name. The record is from RNAcentral. Lineage: Bacteria; Pseudomonadati; Pseudomonadota; Gammaproteobacteria; Enterobacterales; Enterobacteriaceae.
GGGUUGUGAGGUUAAGCGACUAAGCGUACACGGUGGAUGCCCUGGCAGUCAGAGGCGAUGAAGGACGUGCUAAUCUGCGAUAAGCGUCGGUAAGGUGAUAUGAACCGUUAUAACCGGCGAUUUCCGAAUGGGGAAACCCAGUGUGAUUCGUCACACUAUCAUUAACUGAAUCCAUAGGUUAAUGAGGCGAACCGGGGGAACUGAAACAUCUAAGUACCCCGAGGAAAAGAAAUCAACCGAGAUUCCCCCAGUAGCGGCGAGCGAACGGGGAGGAGCCCAGAGCCUGAAUCAGUGUGUGUGUUAGUGGAAGCGUCUGGAAAGGCGCGCGAUACAGGGUGACAGCCCCGUACACAAAAAUGCACAUGCUGUGAGCUCGAUGAGUAGGGCGGGACACGUGGUAUCCUGUCUGAAUAUGGGGGACCAUCCUCCAAGGCUAAAUACUCCUGACUGACCGAUAGUGAACCAGUACCGUGAGGGAAAGGCGAAAAGAACCCCGGCGAGGGGAGUGAAAAAGAACCUGAAACCGUGUACGUACAAGCAGUGGGAGCACAGAGCAAUCUGUGUGACUGCGUACCUUUUGUAUAAUGGGUCAGCGACUUAUAUUCUGUAGCAAGGUUAACCGAAUAGGGGAGCCGAAGGGAAACCGAGUCUUAACUGGGCGUUAAGUUGCAGGGUAUAGACCCGAAACCCGGUGAUCUAGCCAUGGGCAGGUUGAAGGUUGGGUAACACUAACUGGAGGACCGAACCGACUAAUGUUGAAAAAUUAGCGGAUGACUUGUGGCUGGGGGUGAAAGGCCAAUCAAACCGGGAGAUAGCUGGUUCUCCCCGAAAGCUAUUUAGGUAGCGCCUCGUGAAUUCAUCUCCGGGGGUAGAGCACUGUUUCGGCAAGGGGGUCAUCCCGACUUACCAACCCGAUGCAAACUGCGAAUACCGGAGAAUGUUAUCACGGGAGACACACGGCGGGUGCUAACGUCCGUCGUGAAGAGGGAAACAACCCAGACCGCCAGCUAAGGUCCCAAAGUCAUGGUUAAGUGGGAAACGAUGUGGGAAGGCCCAGACAGCCAGGAUGUUGGCUUAGAAGCAGCCAUCAUUUAAAGAAAGCGUAAUAGCUCACUGGUCGAGUCGGCCUGCGCGGAAGAUGUAACGGGGCUAAACCAUGCACCGAAGCUGCGGCAGCGACACUGUGUGUUGUUGGGUAGGGGAGCGUUCUGUAAGCCUGUGAAGGUGUGCUGUGAGGCAUGCUGGAGGUAUCAGAAGUGCGAAUGCUGACAUAAGUAACGAUAAAGCGGGUGAAAAGCCCGCUCGCCGGAAGACCAAGGGUUCCUGUCCAACGUUAAUCGGGGCAGGGUGAGUCGACCCCUAAGGCGAGGCCGAAAGGCGUAGUCGAUGGGAAACAGGUUAAUAUUCCUGUACUUGGUGUUACUGCGAAGGGGGGACGGAGAAGGCUAUGUUGGCCGGGCGACGGUUGUCCCGGUUUAAGCGUGUAGGCUGGUUUUCCAGGCAAAUCCGGAAAAUCAAGGCUGAGGCGUGAUGACGAGGCACUACGGUGCUGAAGCAACAAAUGCCCUGCUUCCAGGAAAAGCCUCUAAGCAUCAGGUAACAUCAAAUCGUACCCCAAACCGACACAGGUGGUCAGGUAGAGAAUACCAAGGCGCUUGAGAGAACUCGGGUGAAGGAACUAGGCAAAAUGGUGCCGUAACUUCGGGAGAAGGCACGCUGAUAUGUAGGUGAAGUCCCUCGCGGAUGGAGCUGAAAUCAGUCGAAGAUACCAGCUGGCUGCAACUGUUUAUUAAAAACACAGCACUGUGCAAACACGAAAGUGGACGUAUACGGUGUGACGCCUGCCCGGUGCCGGAAGGUUAAUUGAUGGGGUCAGCGCAAGCGAAGCUCUUGAUCGAAGCCCCGGUAAACGGCGGCCGUAACUAUAACGGUCCUAAGGUAGCGAAAUUCCUUGUCGGGUAAGUUCCGACCUGCACGAAUGGCGUAAUGAUGGCCAGGCUGUCUCCACCCGAGACUCAGUGAAAUUGAACUCGCUGUGAAGAUGCAGUGUACCCGCGGCAAGACGGAAAGACCCCGUGAACCUUUACUAUAGCUUGACACUGAACAUUGAGCCUUGAUGUGUAGGAUAGGUGGGAGGCUUUGAAGUGUGGACGCCAGUCUGCAUGGAGCCGACCUUGAAAUACCACCCUUUAAUGUUUGAUGUUCUAACGUGGACCCGUGAUCCGGGUUGCGGACAGUGUCUGGUGGGUAGUUUGACUGGGGCGGUCUCCUCCUAAAGAGUAACGGAGGAGCACGAAGGUUGGCUAAUCCUGGUCGGACAUCAGGAGGUUAGUGCAAUGGCAUAAGCCAGCUUGACUGCGAGCGUGACGGCGCGAGCAGGUGCGAAAGCAGGUCAUAGUGAUCCGGUGGUUCUGAAUGGAAGGGCCAUCGCUCAACGGAUAAAAGGUACUCCGGGGAUAACAGGCUGAUACCGCCCAAGAGUUCAUAUCGACGGCGGUGUUUGGCACCUCGAUGUCGGCUCAUCACAUCCUGGGGCUGAAGUAGGUCCCAAGGGUAUGGCUGUUCGCCAUUUAAAGUGGUACGCGAGCUGGGUUUAGAACGUCGUGAGACAGUUCGGUCCCUAUCUGCCGUGGGCGCUGGAGAACUGAGGGGGGCUGCUCCUAGUACGAGAGGACCGGAGUGGACGCAUCACUGGUGUUCGGGUUGUCAUGCCAAUGGCACUGCCCGGUAGCUAAAUGCGGAAGAGAUAAGUGCUGAAAGCAUCUAAGCACGAAACUUGCCCCGAGAUGAGUUCUCCCUGACCCUUUAAGGGUCCUGAAGGAACGUUGAAGACGACGACGUUGAUAGGCCGGGUGUGUAAGCGCAGCGAUGCGUUGAGCUAACCGGUACUAAUGAACCGUGAGGCUUAACCUUACAACGCCGAAGGUGUUU